GAGGGGAGUGAAAUAGAACCUGAAACCGUGUACGUACAAGCAGUAGGAGCACCUUCGUGGUGUGACUGCGUACCUUUUGUAUAAUGGGUCAGCGACUUAUAUUCAGUGGCAAGGUUAACCAUCUAGGGGAGCCGUAGGGAAACCGAGUCUUAACUGGGCGUUCAGUCUCUGGAUAUAGACCCGAAACCAGGUGAUCUAGCCAUGGGCAGGUUGAAGGUUGAGUAACAUCAACUGGAGGACCGAACCGACUAAUGUUGAAAAAUUAGCGGAUGACUUGUGGCUAGGGGUGAAAGGCCAAUCAAACCUGGAGAUAGCUGGUUCUCCCCGAAAGCUAUUUAGGUAGCGCCUCGGACGAAUACUACUGGGGGUAGAGCACUGUUAAGGCUAGGGGGUCAUCCCGACUUACCAACCCUUUGCAAACUCCGAAUACCAGUAAGUACUAUCCGGGAGACACACGGCGGGUGCUAACGUCCGUCGUGGAGAGGGAAACAACCCAGACCGCCAGCUAAGGUCCCAAAUUACUACUAAGUGGGAAACGAUGUGGGAAGGCUCAGACAGCCAGGAUGUUGGCUUAGAAGCAGCCAUCAUUUAAAGAAAGCGUAAUAGCUCACUGGUCGAGUCGGCCUGCGCGGAAGAUGUAACGGGGCUAAGUAGUAAACCGAAGCUGCGGCAAUGUGCUUUUGCACAUUGGGUAGGGGAGCGUUCUGUAAGCGGUUGACGGCAAUGUGCUUUUGCACAUUGGGUAGGGGAGCGUUCUGUAAGCCGUUGAAGGUGUGUUGUAAAGCAUGCUGGAGGUAUCAGAAGUGCGAAUGCUGACAUGAGUAACGAUAAAGGGGGUGAAAAACCUCCUCGCCGGAAGACCAAGGGUUCCUGUCCAACGUUAAUCGGGGCAGGGUAAGUCGACCCCUAAGGCGAGGCCGAAAGGCGUAGUCGAUGGGAAACGGGUUAAUAUUCCCGUACUUCUUACAAUUGCGAUGGGGGGACGGAGAAGGCUAGGUGGGCCUGGCGACGGUUGUCCAGGUUCAAGUGCGUAGGCUUAAGAGUUAGGUAAAUCCGGCUCUUUUUAAGGCUGAGACACGACGUCGAGCACCUACGGGUGUGAAGUCAUUGAUGCCAUGCUUCCAGGAAAAGCCUCUAAGCUUCAGAUUGUAAGGAAUCGUACCCCAAACCGACACAGGUGGUCGGGUAGAGAAUACCAAGGCGCUUGAGAGAACUCGGGUGAAGGAACUAGGCAAAAUGGUACCGUAACUUCGGGAGAAGGUACGCUCUCGACGGUGAAGUCCCUCGCGGAUGGAGCUAUUGAGAGUCGCAGAUACCAGGUGGCUGCAACUGUUUAUUAAAAACACAGCACUGUGCAAAAUCGUAAGAUGACGUAUACGGUGUGACGCCUGCCCGGUGCCGGAAGGUUAAUUGAUGGGGUUAGACUUCGGUCGAAGCUCUUGAUCGAAGCCCCGGUAAACGGCGGCCGUAACUAUAACGGUCCUAAGGUAGCGAAAUUCCUUGUCGGGUAAGUUCCGACCUGCACGAAUGGCGUAAUGAUGGCCACGCUGUCUCCACCCGAGACUCAGUGAAAUUGAAAUCGCUGUGAAGAUGCAGUGUACCCGCGGCUAGACGGAAAGACCCCGUGA
This 1628-nucleotide ribosomal RNA is filed under the name Vibrio parahaemolyticus. RNAcentral's name for it is "partial 23S ribosomal RNA". It matches the Rfam family "Bacterial large subunit ribosomal RNA", at positions 531 to 2096 of the family's 2925-position model. Lineage: Bacteria; Pseudomonadati; Pseudomonadota; Gammaproteobacteria; Vibrionales; Vibrionaceae. The record is from RNAcentral.